UGGGGAAUAUUGGACAAUGGGGGCAACCCUGAUCCAGCCAUGCCGCGUGUGUGAAGAAGGCCUUUUGGUUGUAAAGCACUUUAAGCAGGGAGGAGAGGCUAAUGGUUAAUACCCAUUAGAUUAGACGUUACCUGCAGAAUAAGCACCGGCUAACUCUGUGCCAGCAGCCGCGGUAAUACAGAGGGUGCGAGCGUUAAUCGGAAUUACUGGGCGUAAAGCGAGUGUAGGUGGCUCAUUAAGUCACAUGUGAAAUCCCCGGGCUUAACCUGGGAACUGCAUGUGAUACUGGUGGUGCUAGAAUAUGUGAGAGGGAAGUAGAAUUCCCAGGUGUAGCGGUGAAAUGCGUAGAGAUCUGGAGGAAUACCGAUGGCGAAGGCAGCUUCCUGGCAUAAUAUUGACACUGAGAUUCGAAAGCGUGGGUAGCAAAACAGGAUUAGAUACCCUGGUAGUCCACGCCGUAAAACGAUGUCUACUAGCCGUUGGGGUCCUUGAGACUUUAGUGGCGCAGUUAACGCGAUAAGUAGACCGCCUGGGGGAGUACGGCC
This 545-nucleotide ribosomal RNA is filed under the name uncultured bacterium. RNAcentral describes it as "partial 16S ribosomal RNA". It matches the Rfam family "Bacterial small subunit ribosomal RNA", at positions 355 to 887 of the family's 1533-position model. The record is from RNAcentral.